UCAAAAUAAAAUUAAUUUAAUACAUGAAAAAAUAACCAGAAACCAUUUCCCCACUGGACUGCAGAAGCACAAAAGACCUUUCUACUUGAUGUUUAGUCAAGUUUUUAUUUCAGAAGUAGCAAAAAGAAACACAUACAUAUUAGUGUAGGUUCAGUCCCCUCACAUAUUUGCCAGCACUGAUUCCUCAGCCAUCUAUAUUGAAAGCAGGAUGCUGAUUGCUUGUGCUUCAUUGGACAAAUAACUGUUUUCUUCUUUCAUAGAGGCAAUAAAUGAUAACAGCUUAGCUCAUAGAAAAAGGACAAGGAAUACCAGUUUUGUUCUGAAACAUUGAAAGCUGUAUUGACUUCUGGAUUCUGCCAUCUACAGAAAUUCCGGACCUAUUCUUACUAUCCAUCGACUGAUUGCAUCCAUCGCUACCCAUCUUCCACCUAUCUGUAACCAUCCUCCUUGUUCUGAAAAUAAUACGUACCUUCAAGCUCCUUGAUAAUACAUAGCGUGGAUGUUCCCACUCCUGCUUCCAGGCAUAAGCUUCAGGCGAGCUUGUUUCAGGCUGUGAGAAUGGAUGAGGACAGCUGGAGCCAAUGAUGUUCUGCUGCUCAGCCAGAUCCUGGUGUCAUCACUGGGCAGCCCUACACUGGAAACUUGUCCCACUUCCCCUAUCUAUCUUCAUGUUGUGGCACACGAAGGCUUUUGGAUUUUCCAGCACUACAGGAUUAAAGGAGACAACCUUCUUCAUCUGGAGCAUCAGUUCCUGAGUGAACGUCCUGGACCAAAAUGAGGACCUGGGAAAUGAGGACCUUGCCGCAGGCCUCCUUGUGUGUUCAGCUUCUGCCCACAGAGGAACAUCUGAUUUGCCACUGCUCCUGCUGUUUUCUUGGGAAAUGUAAUUGUAGAACAGCUACCUAGAAUCUGUCUGGAACGAGCAGAGGGUGUAUGAAACAAAGCCUUUUCCUGAGCCCAAACCGUAUCCCAAAAAGGCAACAUAGAUGGCCCUAGCCGAAUUGCUGGGCCAUUGACACUGCUUCGCUAAUAGGCAGCUUAAGCUGAAUGAUAGUAUUUCUGAAGUUCCACCCAUGCAAGUACAGAGCAGGCUGGAAUCCACCUAACAUGGGAGACCAAACGAGACUGGACGCAUUCAGGCUGAUAUGGCCGUAGAUUACUCACAAAAUUCUGGUAGCUUCUUGGCUUCUUGAACUGAAUGAUACUAUUGACAAAGUUCCUGUUAUGUAUGUACUGAAGAGGCCAGAUGCUGCUUCACUUCCGAGAACAGAUGAAAUCGGGCAGGUUGAGGGUGGUAUGGCUGAAGAUUACUCACAAAGUUUCUGGUAGCUUCUCCUGAUUCAGUAAUAGGUUUUUUGAAGUGAAUGAAAGUGUUCACCAAGUUCCUGUGCUGUAUGAUCUACAGAGGCCAGACCCUGCCUAACUUCGGAGACCAAACGAGAUUGGGCACGUUCAGGCUGGUAUGGCUGUAGAUUACUUAGAAAGUUUCUGGUGGCUUCUCUCGCUUUGGUAAUAGGUUUUUUGAAGUGAUUGAAAGUGUUCACAGAGUUCCUGUGCUGUACGUACUACAGAGGCGAGACCCUGCCUGUCUUUAGAGACUAAAUGAGAUUGGGUGCAUUCAGGCUGGUACGCUUGUACAUUGCUCAGAAAGUUUCUGGUAGCUUCUUCCACUUCAGUGAUAGGUUUCUGGAAGUGAAUGAAAGUGUUCACAAAGCUCCUGUGCUGUAUGUACUAUAGGGGCCAGACCUCGACCAAUUUUGGAGACUAAACGAGAUUGGGCGCAUUCAGCCUGGUAUGGCUUUAGAUUACUCACAGAGUGUCUGGUAGCUUGUCCCACUUCAGUAAUAGGUUUUCCAAAGUGAAUGAAAGUGUUCACAAAGUCCUGUGCUGUAUGUACUACAGAGGCCAGACCCUGCCUAACUUCAGAGACCAAACGGGAUUGGGCGCAUUCAGGCUGCUAUGGCUGUAGAUGACUCAGAAUGUUUCUGGGGGCUUCUCUCGUGUCACUGAUAAGUUUUUUAAAGUGAAUGAAAGUGUUCACAAAGUUCCUGUGCUGUAUGUACUACAGAGGCCAGACCCUGCCUAGCUUCAGAGACCAAACGGGAUUGGGCGCAUUCAGGCUGCUAUGGCUGUAGAUGACUCAGAAAGUUUCUGGUGGCUUCUCUCGCUUCACUGAUAAGUUUUUUAAAGUGAAUGAACGUGUUCACAAAGUUCCUGUGCUGUAUGUACUAUAGAGGCCAGACCCUGCCUAACUUCAGAGACCAAACGGGAUUGGGCGCAUUCAGGCUGGUAUGGCUGUAGAUUACUCAGAAAGUUUCUGGUGGCUUCUCUCACUUCACUAA
This is a long non-coding RNA of Callithrix jacchus (white-tufted-ear marmoset), 2342 nucleotides long. Lineage: Eukaryota; Metazoa; Chordata; Mammalia; Primates; Cebidae. The record is from Ensembl.